ACGCUCGACACCUACGGGAGGCAGCAGUGGGGAAUAUUGCACAAUGGGGGAAACCCUGAUGCAGCGACGCCGCGUGAAGGAAGAAGUAUUUCGGUAUGUAAACUUCUAUCAGCAGGGAAGAAGAAAGUGACGGUACCUGACUAAGAAGCCCCGGCUAACUACGUGCAAGCAGCCGCGGUAAUCUGAGCGGGCUGGCAAGGC
Molecule: ribosomal RNA, 201 nt
Filed under: uncultured bacterium
Lineage: Bacteria
Description: partial 16S ribosomal RNA
Rfam family: Bacterial small subunit ribosomal RNA
Source: RNAcentral